AAACAAAAAAUGGGGUGCUCGCACAGGCGGGCUGAGAGUAAGCGGACGCUUUAACCCGGAACCUGAUUUGGAUAAUGCCAACGUAGGGAGAUAAUGAAUCACAAGUG
Molecule: non-coding RNA, 107 nt
Organism: Roseburia intestinalis XB6B4
Lineage: Bacteria; Bacillati; Bacillota; Clostridia; Lachnospirales; Lachnospiraceae
Source: Rfam